Molecule: ribosomal RNA, 245 nt
Filed under: uncultured bacterium
Lineage: Bacteria
Description: partial 16S ribosomal RNA
Rfam family: Bacterial small subunit ribosomal RNA
Source: RNAcentral
UACGUAGGAGGCGAGCGUUGUCCGGAAUUACUGGGCGUAAAGCGCGCGUAGGCGGUCUGGUACGACCGGUGUGAAAGCCCCCGGCUCAACUGGGGAGGGUCACUGGUAACGGCACAGGCUGACACGAGUGCAGGAGAGGGACGUGGAACUCCGGGAGUAGCGGUGAAAUGCGUAGAGACCCGGAGGAACACCAGUGGCGAAGGCGGCGUCCUGGCCUGCGACUGACGCUGAGGCGCGAAAGCUAG